Cryptotermes secundus is the source of this 2995-nucleotide RNA transcript. It is a transcript of the gene named zinc finger protein 76-like, with no coding region annotated. The record is from RefSeq and is a predicted model, not a curated record. The transcript has 11 exons. NCBI's taxonomy places the organism in Eukaryota, Metazoa, Arthropoda, Insecta, Blattodea, Kalotermitidae.
UGCACGGCCAUGUAGAGGAUGUAGCGUUAUUCGUGGUGUUGUGUUAAUGGUUUUCAAGUCAGGUUUAUGACAUAUUAUUAUGAUCAUUAUGACAUAAUAUGUAUGAUCUAUAUAAAAGUUCGAUUUUAGUUAUAUGACUGGAAAGCAAAAUGCGUAUAAAUUCUCAUUAUCAAACUCGGGCCAUGAGUAAUGGAUAUAUGCAUUUCUGGCAGGGAGCAACUCUUAUAUUUCAAGAGCAUGGCAUUGAGCUCUGAACCAGAAGAAAUGUACACCAAAGUCUGGCGCCCAUAGAGUCAGAGAUGGCUGCAAGUGAAGAACCCAAGGAAGAUAAUAUGAUGCUUUUAAUAAGCGAUAAUGUUGUUAGAAAGGAAGACAGCCAGAUAAGAAAGAUUCACAGCUGUCCAUAUAAAUAUUGUGAGCGCUCAUUCAAUAGGCCGUGGCGUCUGGCCAGUCAUGUUCGUUCACAUACAGGCCAGCGUUCUCACCCAUGUGAAGUCCCAGGAUGCAAGAAGGCAUACUUCAAUUCGAGCCAUCUGCGUCGCCACAUGACCACCAGCCACAGGGCAGAGUCACUUCUUAAAACUCUUCUGAAGUGUCCUCACCCAAGCUGCAUCGUGGAGUUAAGUAGUUCAUGCAGCCUGAAGCGACACUGCUGGCGUAUACAUGAACGUCAGCACCUGUUCACCUGCACGAACUGUGAUAGGGGCUUCUCCAGGCAGAGUCAGUGGCAGGCACAUCUGUAUGAACACACUGGUGUUCCGCCCUUCAUGUGUUCUACAUGUCAGCUGGGUUUCAUAAACCAGAGGGACUUCAAUCGCCACAAUAGGCGGCAUGCGAAGAACUACUUAUGUGAGGUUUCUGAUUGUGGGAAGCACUUUGAAUGCUACACACACUUACUGAGGCAUACAACACUGCAUCAUCCCACAGAAUUCGUCUGUGAUGUAUGCAACAAAAGUUUCAAAGCAAAGUGUCGGCUGUUGACACAUAUGUCUGUUCACCAAGAAUCAUCACAAAGAGAAAUGCUGUCCUGCCCAUACAGCAACUGUGCACGUUCAUACUAUCACAAAAGAAACCUUGUGUACCACAUUGGUGUCAGUCACAAGGGGAAGAGACGGAACCAUAGGCAGAGUGCAAAGAAUGUCAUCACACAGAACAAAGGAAGACACUUGGAAGGAAAUGACACAUGUGAGAAGAAGCCAUUGGUCGUAUCUAAAACUGACUUGCAUGACAGUAUCAGUUAUGUAUCUAUGUAUACUCUCAAAAAUAGCAGCUGUUUUGGUGUAUCAGCAGACGGCAAUGCAAGUGAUGGAGAGGACAACAAGAUUAUGAUCAAAGUGGAACCUGCUUUGUAUAGUGACACCCUACAGUCAUCUUCCUAUGGCCAAAUACAACAGGAGGAGCAGUCGGUACUACAUGCAGUAAAGACUGAAGCUCUGCAUGGCAUGGAGUCUGAGGGUCCCCUGUUGGCUGCAGACACACUGGUACUGAAGACUGAAACUCUAGUGAGUUCCCAUUUUAUUUGCAUUGCUGAGUGACUGAGUCCUUGGGAAGCUAACAGUCUUCUGCCCUGAAGCUGGAUGCAGUAGGUUCCUCCAAAACAUUGGUAACCUCUUACCAGACUGCAUGAUAUCGUAAUUGAAACUAAUGAUUCAGCUGCUCAAGAAAUUCCAUGCCCUUUAUACAGACUUAAUACUCAUAACCUGAAGAUGGAGGCAGUGUUUAUCUGAAACAUGAGUUUCUACCAUCGAGACUGCAUGUUGUCAAUACGUGUUCAGCUAUUCAAGUAAUUUCAUUUAAUUUAUGGAAUGCAAAGGUUCAUUCCCGUGCUCAUAGGGGCCUGCCACUGGUUCCUGUCCUGAGUAAAUGCAUCAGAACUGUGACAUGGAUUUGGGAGGAGGCACUUGUGGCCUCUUUGUACAUAUUGUCAGCCCAUGUGCAUGGAGAGACUAGGGUAAACUGUAGCAACCCUUGGCUGGGAGAACCAGUAACUGAACCAAGCUUCCGUGCAUGUAACUUGAAGAUAACAGUCAAGAAUGCUGCAGCUGCUUGCUUUAUCUCUGUUGAUUUUGAGUAUUCUGUAACCUUUAUCAUCCAGGAAUAAGGGAUCUUAAAUUUGCUAGUAAUAUGGGCUAGGCAUGCAGAUUUUAAGUGAGGAGUACUGAAAAUGCGAUACCUCAGCCAGUUGGGCCAUGCACAUGUAUCCAUUGCAGUAGUGCAACGUGUGGCCAUUGAAGUUUAAGCACUGUCUAAUUCCAAACCAUCAUUUGAUAAGUCAGUAAAUAAACAGACACUGCCUCAGAACCUUGUAUCUGGUAUAUAGUAUACUGGCAUUUGUAAAUGGGGAGAGUGCAUUCCCCAGCUGCGGUGAAGCCAACAAGCAAGUGUUCUUUGUUACGCCAGCAUCUCUUGUGCUUCACAUCUCUGUGAUACCCCAGACAAAGGGACACUGAUGGUUCCUGCAGACAUUGUCCAAUAUAACCCAGUACAUGCACAGCAAAACCUACACUAAGAAGUAAUAACAGACAUAUUUGCACAUGCCAACAUCAGUUGGAAGUACCAAUCAGAAACACAGUACACCACGCAGUUACAGACAAGUUAUUGCAUGCUACAAGAGGCAACCUACUUCAUAAUUAGCUGACAUCUAUAUCAAAGAAACAGUGAAAUUUUGAAUGUUACCAGUCACCAUCCAAGUAAAAUUAAAAUACUGUGGCAUAUUUGAUCAACACAUUGCCAGGCAGUAUCUCUGUAAGCACAAUACGCGCCUGCAACAGUAGAGCAAGCUGCGUUUUCCAUGUGUCCGGCAGUUGACGUAAGGUCGGUGAUGUCACACAUCGACAGUAGGUGGCUGUCACCUGACAUGUUUCUUGCCUGUCCAUCAGCUGCAGUGAUGUCACACAGCAACAGUGGGAACAGUCACAAGAUGUUCCUGAAGUUAAGCUUGAAAUGAAAAAUGAAAUAAUGACAGAGGAUCAUUGUGUUUGAAUGUGGACAGGUG